UUAUAAUUGAUGGGAUCGGGAUCCUUCGCCACUAUACAACUUUUUGUACCUCCCUUUCUACGCACCCUCUGCAUGUGAUGCCCAUUUCUUCCCCUUUCUUGCAUUUUGGCUGCCCUCUGCAACUCGAUUGGUUGAGUUUCCUUUCCCACCCUUCCCCUAUCUCUUCAUUUUACCUCACUCGCCAUCAUACGCAGUCAAUGUUCGUCCUUAAUCAACUUGCGUUCGUCCCUUCUGCCAAUAGAGCCCACAGUUAGUUUGGAAAGCAUGCUACUUUCUUGAAUACUCUUUUGUUGCAAUAUCAUGAUUUAUGGAACUUCAACUUGUUUUAGGGAAACUUGAGAGAGCUAAAAUUUCAAAAGUACAUUUCUAGGAUAUCAUUGGCAUUGCUUGGACUUGGUGAACACUUGUAGGUUGAUUUGAACUUGUAAAAAGCCAUUUUGAAAUAAGUUUGGGGGAAUGUUGUUUUGGACUUUAAUGUGUUUAAACUUAACCAAAUUAUCCUUUGUUGUUAAGUUUAGGAAAUUUGAACUUGAAAUGCCAUCUUACUUGUCAUAUAUCUUUAUAUUUCAUUUGUGGAAGCUUGUAAGGGCUUGAGACCAAAAUUGGCAUCUUUGCCUUAACCGGCCAUUGUUUUUUAUGCAAAGGGGAGUCGGCAAACACAUCCUUCUCUACACAGCACCAUCAGGAGCAACCCAUCACUUCUCAGUUUCAGCCGGGCUCAUCUUCACAUCCUCCUCGGGAUCCACUGUCUCAGUCAGACUCGCUCUCCCAGUACGCCAAUUCUGACUCCAGCUUUAUGAGCGAGUUGACUCAGCUCCAGUCAGACUUUACUACAUUCAGCGCUUGGAUGGGACGGAGGGCUAACGACCUAGAGAGGGGUGUGACAGAUAUGAGGAGGGACAUUACUCAGUUCCGUACAGAGGUGCAGCUUACACUGACUAGAUUUCGUGAGGAAGUUACAGAUAUGCUUCAGCAACUUACAAAGAUGAUUCAGCCACCACCGGUCGGGACUCCAUGAUUUCGCAUUCUCUAUCUCUCUCUCAUUUACUCUGUUCUUAUGUGCUCCUUAGACAUUAUUUGACAUACUCUGUUAUUAUUUUGGGGAUGUACUUAUUAAUACAUAUGAUAUUGAUUUUUGGAUA
Molecule: RNA transcript, 1142 nt
Organism: Cornus florida
Lineage: Eukaryota; Viridiplantae; Streptophyta; Magnoliopsida; Cornales; Cornaceae
Exons: 2
Source: RefSeq, a predicted model, not a curated record